CACGUAGGCGGAUCUUUAAGUCAGGGGUGAAAUCCCGGAGCUCAACUCCGGAACUGCCUUUGAUACUGGGGAUCUUGAGUUCGAGAGAGGUGAGUGGAACUGCGAGUGUAGAGGUGAAAUUCGUAGAUAUUCGCAAGAACACCAGUGGCGAAGGCGGCUCACUGGCUCGAUACUGACGCUGAGGUGCGAAAGCGUGGGAGCAAACA
Molecule: ribosomal RNA, 206 nt
Filed under: uncultured bacterium
Lineage: Bacteria
Description: partial 16S ribosomal RNA
Rfam family: Bacterial small subunit ribosomal RNA
Source: RNAcentral